GCCGCUCAGUGUGCCAGCAGCCGCGGUAAUACGUAGGUGGCAAGCGUUGUCCGGAUUUAUUGGGCGUAAAGCGAGUGCAGGCGGUUCAAUAAGUCUGAUGUGAAAGCCUUCGGCUCAACCGGAGAAUUGCAUCAGAAACUGUUGAACUUGAGUGCAGAAGAGGAGAGUGGAACUCCAUGUGUAGCGGUGGAAUGCGUAGAUAUAUGGAAGAACACCAGUGGCGAAGGCGGCUCUCUGGUCUGCAACUGACGCUGAGGCUCGAAAGCAUGGGUAGCGAACAGG
This 282-nucleotide ribosomal RNA is filed under the name uncultured bacterium. Its description in RNAcentral is "partial 16S ribosomal RNA". It matches the Rfam family "Bacterial small subunit ribosomal RNA", at positions 490 to 776 of the family's 1533-position model. The record is from RNAcentral.